RNAcentral lists this ribosomal RNA (358 nucleotides) under uncultured bacterium. RNAcentral's name for it is "partial 16S ribosomal RNA". It matches the Rfam family "Bacterial small subunit ribosomal RNA", at positions 338 to 693 of the family's 1533-position model. The record is from RNAcentral.
CCUACGGGUGGCAGCAGUGAGGAAUAUUGGUCAAUGGGCGUAAGCCUGAACCAGCCAAGUCGCGUGAGGGAUGAAGGUUCUAUGGAUCGUAAACCUCUUUUAUAAGGGAAUAAAGUGCGGGACGUGUCCCGUUUUGUAUGUACCUUAUGAAUAAGGAUCGGCUAACUCCGUGCCAGCAGCCGCGGUAAUACGGAGGAUCCGAGCGUUAUCCGGAUUUAUUGGGUUGAAGGGGUGCGUAGGCGGGCUUUUAAGUCAGCGGGGAAAGUCUGUGGCGCAACCAUAGAAUUGCCGUUGAAACUGGGGGGGGUGAGGGGGUGUGAGGCGGGGGGAGGGUGGGGGGGAGGGGUGAAAUGCAGAG